RNAcentral lists this ribosomal RNA (253 nucleotides) under uncultured bacterium. RNAcentral's name for it is "partial 16S ribosomal RNA". It matches the Rfam family "Bacterial small subunit ribosomal RNA", at positions 524 to 776 of the family's 1533-position model. The record is from RNAcentral.
UACGGAGGGGGCUAGCGUUGUUCGGAAUUACUGGGCGUAAAGCGCGCGUAGGCGGACCGGCAAGUCGGGGGUGAAAGCCCGAGGCUCAACCUCGGAAUUGCCUUCGAUACUGCGGGUCUCGAGUCCGGGAGAGGUGAGUGGAAUUCCUAGUGUAGAGGUGAAAUUCGUAGAUAUUAGGAAGAACACCAGUGGCGAAGGCGGCUCACUGGCCCGGUACUGACGCUGAGGCGCGAAAGCGUGGGGAGCAAACAGG